CGGGGUGUAGUAUAACGGUAGUACGCUACUUUGGGGUAGUAGUAACCCGAGUUCAAUUCUCGGCACCCCGACCA
Molecule: transfer RNA, 74 nt
Filed under: Candidatus Nealsonbacteria bacterium CG02_land_8_20_14_3_00_37_10
Lineage: Bacteria; Candidatus Nealsoniibacteriota
Also listed under: 1 other name
Description: tRNA-Pro
Rfam family: tRNA
About the family: Transfer RNA (tRNA) molecules are approximately 80 nucleotides in length. Their secondary structure includes four short double-helical elements and three loops (D, anti-codon, and T loops). Further hydrogen bonds mediate the characteristic L-shaped molecular structure. tRNAs have two regions of fundamental functional importance: the anti-codon, which is responsible for specific mRNA codon recognition, and the 3' end, to which the tRNAs corresponding amino acid is attached (by aminoacyl-tRNA synthetases). tRNAs cope with the degeneracy of the genetic code in two manners: having more than one tRNA (with a specific anti-codon) for a particular amino acid; and 'wobble' base-pairing, i.e. permitting non-standard base-pairing at the 3rd anti-codon position.
Source: RNAcentral